This 253-nucleotide ribosomal RNA is filed under the name uncultured bacterium. RNAcentral's name for it is "partial 16S ribosomal RNA". It matches the Rfam family "Bacterial small subunit ribosomal RNA", at positions 524 to 776 of the family's 1533-position model. The record is from RNAcentral.
UACGUAGGGUGCAAGCGUUGUCCGGAAUUAUUGGGCGUAAAGAGCUCGUAGGCGGUCUGUCGCGUCGGAUGUGAAAAUCCAGGGCUCAACCCUGGACCUGCAUUCGAUACGGGCAGACUAGAGUUCGGUAGGGGAGACUGGAAUUCCUGGUGUAGCGGUGAAAUGCGCAGAUAUCAGGAGGAACACCGGUGGCGAAGGCGGGUCUCUGGGCCGACACUGACACUGAGGAGCGAAAGCCAGGGGAGCAAACGGG